RNAcentral lists this long non-coding RNA (637 nucleotides) under Pan troglodytes (chimpanzee). RNAcentral describes it as "long non-coding RNA NONPTRT008846". Lineage: Eukaryota; Metazoa; Chordata; Mammalia; Primates; Hominidae. The record is from RNAcentral.
CUCAGGCCUCUAGACUCUAGACUGAGCUGCCUUGGUCACUCGGGGGCAGUUGGCAGAGUAUUCGUGGUCAGGGAGGUGACCCGUGGUCAGCAGGAUCAGGCCACCCAGGGACAAAGGGUGCUUCUGCGCCAGGCCCUGGAGAAGGACAGAGCGGUGGGGACUCGGGGUCGGCCGCAGAUAGGGGAGUCACCACCUGCCGGCAAUCAGCCAUGACUGCCUUUGCACUGUCCAUGCUCUCAGCCCACCACCUCGUCCCCCUGCCAUUGCAGUGGCUAACACUGGAGACGAAGACCAAGACACCACAGCCUUUCUCCAGUACCUCUCAAAUCAGCACAGACAAGGACAAAGGCCUCAAUCCACAACUGCUGAAGAUGGACCCUGGCCACAUGGGAUGGUCAGACACGCCUGCCCAGCUAUCUGCAGGCGAAGAGGCUCAGAAGAGGUUUGGGGGCCUGAAGGACAUCUUGCUUCCAUGUCCAUAUGAGCAGGCUAUUUGUGCUCCAUGAGUCAAUUUUGCCAUAUAAAAUACUUAAUUUCAGCCAUUCCAGGGUGCUAUAGGAUGCACAACUUCCCAUCAACCCACCUGAACUCCAGCCAUGCCAUUUUAAUACCAGGAAUGAGGUCACCUGCUUUCCUG